AGGGAUGUAACUAGGUGGUAGGGCAUCUGGUUAACAUGCAGAAGGUCCUGGGUUCAAUCCCUGGCAUCUCCA
This is a non-coding RNA of Podarcis lilfordi (Lilford's wall lizard), 72 nucleotides long. Lineage: Eukaryota; Metazoa; Chordata; Lepidosauria; Squamata; Lacertidae. The record is from the annotation of a GenBank genome assembly.